This 253-nucleotide ribosomal RNA is filed under the name uncultured bacterium. RNAcentral's name for it is "partial 16S ribosomal RNA". It matches the Rfam family "Bacterial small subunit ribosomal RNA", at positions 524 to 776 of the family's 1533-position model. The record is from RNAcentral.
UACGAAGGGGGCGAGCGUUGUUCGGAUUUACUGGGCGUAAAGGGCGCGUAGGCGGCGCGAGAAGUCGAGUGUGAAAGCCCCGGGCUCAACCUGGGAAUUGCGCUCGAUACUCUUGUGCUUGAGUUCGGGAGAGGAGCGUGGAAUUCCCAGUGUAGAGGUGAAAUUCGUAGAUAUCAGGAGGAACACCAAUGGCGAAGGCAGCUCGCUGGGACGUGACUGACGCUGAGACGCGAAAGCGUGGGGAGCAAACAGG